This 1448-nucleotide ribosomal RNA is filed under the name Kocuria sp. RNAcentral describes it as "bacterial SSU rRNA". It matches the Rfam family "Bacterial small subunit ribosomal RNA". Lineage: Bacteria; Bacillati; Actinomycetota; Actinomycetes; Micrococcales; Micrococcaceae. The record is from RNAcentral.
GACGAACGCUGGCGGCGUGCUUAACACAUGCAAGUCGAACGAUGAUGCCCAGCUUGCUGGGCGGAUUAGUGGCGAACGGGUGAGUAAUACGUGAGUAACCUGCCCUUGACUCUGGGAUAAGCCUGGGAAACUGGGUCUAAUACUGGAUACUACCUCUUACCGCAUGGUGGGUGGUGGAAAGGGUUUUACUGGUUUUGGAUGGGCUCACGGCCUAUCAGCUUGUUGGUGGGGUAAUGGCUCACCAAGGCGACGACGGGUAGCCGGCCUGAGAGGGUGACCGGCCACACUGGGACCGAGACACGGCCCAGACUCCUACGGGAGGCAGCAGUGGGGAAUAUUGCACAAUGGGCGGAAGCCUGAUGCAGCGACGCCGCGUGAGGGAUGACGGCCUUCGGGUUGUAAACCUCUUUCAGUAGGGAAGAAGCGAGAGUGACGGUACCUGCAGAAGAAGCGCCGGCUAACUACGUGCCAGCAGCCGCGGUAAUACGUAGGGCGCAAGCGUUGUCCGGAAUUAUUGGGCGUAAAGAGCUCGUAGGCGGUUUGUCGCGUCUGCUGUGAAAGCCCGGGGCUCAACCCCGGGUCUGCAGUGGGUACGGGCAGACUAGAGUGCAGUAGGGGAGACUGGAAUUCCUGGUGUAGCGGUGAAAUGCGCAGAUAUCAGGAGGAACACCGAUGGCGAAGGCAGGUCUCUGGGCUGUUACUGACGCUGAGGAGCGAAAGCAUGGGGAGCGAACAGGAUUAGAUACCCUGGUAGUCCAUGCCGUAAACGUUGGGCACUAGGUGUGGGGGACAUUCCACGUUUUCCGCGCCGUAGCUAACGCAUUAAGUGCCCCGCCUGGGGAGUACGGCCGCAAGGCUAAAACUCAAAGGAAUUGACGGGGGCCCGCACAAGCGGCGGAGCAUGCGGAUUAAUUCGAUGCAACGCGAAGAACCUUACCAAGGCUUGACAUUCACCGGACCGCCCCAGAGAUGGGGUCUCCCUUCGGGGCUGGUGGACAGGUGGUGCAUGGUUGUCGUCAGCUCGUGUCGUGAGAUGUUGGGUUAAGUCCCGCAACGAGCGCAACCCUCGUUCUAUGUUGCCAGCACGUGAUGGUGGGGACUCAUAGGAGACUGCCGGGGUCAACUCGGAGGAAGGUGGGGAUGACGUCAAAUCAUCAUGCCCCUUAUGUCUUGGGCUUCACGCAUGCUACAAUGGCCGGUACAAAGGGUUGCGAUACUGUGAGGUGGAGCUAAUCCCAAAAAGCCGGUCUCAGUUCGGAUUGAGGUCUGCAACUCGACCUCAUGAAGUCGGAGUCGCUAGUAAUCGCAGAUCAGCAACGCUGCGGUGAAUACGUUCCCGGGCCUUGUACACACCGCCCGUCAAGUCACGAAAGUUGGUAACACCCGAAGCCGGUGGCCUAACCCCUUGUGGGAGGGAGCCGUCGAAGGUGGGACUGGCGAUUGGGACU